UAGGGAAUCUUCGGCAAUGGACGAAAGUCUGACCGAGCAACGCCGCGUGAGUGAAGAAGGUUUUCGGAUCGUAAAACUCUGUUGUUAGAGAAGAACAAGGACGUUAGUAACUGAACGUCCCCUGACGGUAUCUAACCAGAAAGCCACGGCUAACUACGUGCCAGCAGCCGCGGUAAUACGUAGGUGGCAAGCGUUGUCCGGAUUUAUUGGGCGUAAAGCGAGCGCAGGCGGUUUCUUAAGUCUGAUGUGAAAGCCCCCGGCUCAACCGGGGAGGGUCAUUGGAAACUGGGAGACUUGAGUGCAGAAGAGGGGAGUGGAAUUCCAUGUGUAGCGGUGAAAUGCGUAGAUAGAUGGAGGAACACCAGUGGCGAAGGCGGCUCUCUGGUCUGUAACUGACGCUGGGGCUCGAAAGCGUGGGGAGCAAACAGG
RNAcentral lists this ribosomal RNA (429 nucleotides) under Gemmatimonadota bacterium. RNAcentral's name for it is "Gemmatimonadetes bacterium partial 16S ribosomal RNA". It matches the Rfam family "Bacterial small subunit ribosomal RNA", at positions 355 to 776 of the family's 1533-position model. The record is from RNAcentral. Lineage: Bacteria; Pseudomonadati; Gemmatimonadota.